This 468-nucleotide ribosomal RNA is filed under the name uncultured bacterium. RNAcentral's name for it is "partial 16S ribosomal RNA". It matches the Rfam family "Bacterial small subunit ribosomal RNA", at positions 28 to 507 of the family's 1533-position model. The record is from RNAcentral.
GACGAACGCUGGCGGCGUGCUUAACACAUGCAAGUCGAACGGAAAGGCCCUGCUUUUGUGGGGUGCUCGAUUGGCGAACGGGUGAGUAACACGUGUGUAACCUGCCCUUGACUUUGGUAUAACUUCAGGAAACUUGGGCUAAUACCUGAUAGGAUCUCCUGCUGCAUGGUGGGGGUUGGAAAGUUUCGGCGGUUGGGGAUGGACUCGCGGCUUAUCAGCUUGUUGGUGGGGUAGUGGCUUACCAAGGCUUUGACGGGUAGCCGGCCUGAGAGGGUGACCGGCAACAUUGGGACUGAGAUACGGCCCAGACUCCUACGGGAGGCAGCAGUGGGGAAUAUUGCACAAUGGGCGGAAGCCUGAUGCAGCAACGCCGCGUGCGGGAUGACGGCCUUCGGGUUGUAAACCGCUUUCGACUGUGACGAAGCGUGAGUGACGGUAAUGGGUAAAGAAGCACCGGCUAACUACGUG